GUGAGGCACCACAGCCCUCACUUCUCAGUCCUUUCUGAGAUGCUUUAGAAAGAUCCGGCCAACACGUGGGGGACUGAGGAAGCGGUGUCCUUGGUAUCUUUGCACUGGAGCAUCAGGUAUGCGCGCAGCCGUAGGUCCAACGUGGAGCCAGAGUGACAGAGACUUGGUGCCCACAGAGAAGAGAUGCAUGAAUUCUCUUCCAUAAUGAUACUAGUGAAGAGUAACAGAGUCAUGGCUGGAUGGGUGGGACAGCCUGUUGUGCUGUUUUGAGACAACAUACAGGUGUCCAGAAAGAUGAUGAACUGAU
RNAcentral lists this long non-coding RNA (307 nucleotides) under Bos taurus (domestic cattle). RNAcentral's name for it is "long non-coding RNA NONBTAT020426". Lineage: Eukaryota; Metazoa; Chordata; Mammalia; Artiodactyla; Bovidae. The record is from RNAcentral.